Colias croceus (clouded yellow) is the source of this 1038-nucleotide long non-coding RNA. RefSeq lists it as uncharacterized. The record is from RefSeq and is a predicted model, not a curated record. NCBI's taxonomy places the organism in Eukaryota, Metazoa, Arthropoda, Insecta, Lepidoptera, Pieridae. The transcript is spliced from 3 exons.
UUUUGCUAGUGACUUUUAAUUUUGGAAAAAGGCAACCCUGUCCAAUGCGAGAUAUGACAGGUCACAGGAUAAUCCGUUUGUUUUCUGAAAUUUGAAUUAUUCUUGAUUUCUUGAGUUUGUUGUUAAUUUUAAAAUGGCUUCUAGGAGGAAGGUGUAUUGUGUUUUUGGAUGUAGUGAAAUAGGUAAGUUUUCUCAAAAUUAUUUAUUUAUAAUGAACUGAUGCUACCAGUAGGUACGUAUCCCUUAUUGUUUGUUUCGGUCAUGGCCGCAGAACAUCUUUGUUUGCAUAUAACCAUAUAUCACUAUUUUACAAAAAUUAUAAAAAUUUUAAAUAUUUGAGUAUUAUAUAUUUAAUUAUAAGUAUAUUUAUUAUUUGAAUAUACUAUAUAAAAAUAAUUAAAUAUGGAGAACACAACAUUUAUUGCGUAUUUCUGUACUGUAAAGGUUGUUUUUUAUGUAUUUACAGGAGCAAUUAUGCAUCGUUUCCCUCACCCUUCAAGACGACGAGUUGUUUGCUAUCGGGAUGUCAAUUGUUGGUGAAUGACUAAAAGAUCUUGGAGCCAGACAUGAUCUAAAGAAACAAGAGAGACUGUGAUUACCAUUUCAAGCCUGAGCACAAAGUUUCAGGUCACCAAUUACUCCAUUUAUCUGUUCCAUCAAUCUACUAGUGGUAUAUUUCAUUCUGCGAGUACAGCAGUUUACAUGGAACAUAACUAUUCUCAGCCAAGGAUGUGGCCUUAUGAGACAAGGGCAAAUGAAGAUAAUGAUGUCCCCAUUAAAUCAGCAAAUUUUAGAUAAAGGUCGCACAAAACAUUGUGAUGAAUACUUAGUAAAAAAAUAUAAAAAGUCCCAAAUUGAACAGAAAAAUUGAAGUUAAAGAAAAGUAUGGCUAAAGAGAGAAGUUUUAAAUUGCCAAUGCCGAAAAUUAGUUGCUGGUCAGGCAUUUCAUAAAGUCACAGCAAAAAUGUCAGAAGCUGGAAUUUUUUUUACUGGAAUACAAUUUAAACAAGCUCUGAAAAAACCUAAAGGAAGACGUUA